RNAcentral lists this ribosomal RNA (378 nucleotides) under uncultured bacterium. RNAcentral's name for it is "bacterial SSU rRNA". It matches the Rfam family "Bacterial small subunit ribosomal RNA", at positions 521 to 896 of the family's 1533-position model. The record is from RNAcentral.
UAAUACAGAGGGUGCGAGCGUUGUUCGGAAUUACUGGGCGUAAAGCGCGCGCAGGCGGCCCGUUAAGUCUGACGGUGAAAUGCCGGGGCUCAACCCCGAGCGUGCCGGAGAUACUGGCGGGCUGGAGAGACGUAGAGGCAAGCGGAAUUCCGGGUGUAGCGGUGGAAUGCGUAGAGAUCCGGAAGAACACCGGAGGCGAAGGCGGCUUGCUGGGCGUUGUCUGACGCUGAGGCGCGAAAGCGUGGGGAGCGAACAGGAUUAGAUACCCUGGUAGUCCACGCCGUAAACGAUGGGCACUAGGCGCGGGGUGGAUCGACCCAUUCCGUGCCGCAGCUAACGCGAUAAGUGCCCCGCCUGGGGAGUACGGCCGCAAGGCUG